This 237-nucleotide non-coding RNA is filed under the name Bacillota bacterium. RNAcentral describes it as "Firmicutes bacterium T-box sequence". It matches the Rfam family "T-box leader". From Rfam's summary of the family: Uncharged tRNA acts as the effector for transcription antitermination of genes in the T-box leader family. T-boxes are found upstream of many aminoacyl-tRNA synthetase genes and some amino acid biosynthetic genes usually in Gram-positive bacteria. Lineage: Bacteria; Bacillati; Bacillota. The record is from RNAcentral.
AAAAAGACACAGAAGAGGAAGAGUAGGAAAAUUGAAAUCUGCAGAGAGCUGUCGGCAGGUGCGAGACAGAGAGGGAGAUUUUUUGAACUGGCCUUGGAGUUUCCAGAGCGAAAUUAUAGUAGUUUUGGACGGGAAAUCCCGUUAUAGAUUCAAUAAGUGCAUCUGAUUAUCAAUUUGUUGAUGGAAAAAUCAGAUGAAUUAGAGUGGUACCACGAAAGUUAGUCCUUCGUCUCUAAA